GCUGGACACAGUGACAUGUACCUGUAGUCCCAGCAACCAGGCUGAGGUAGGGGGAAUCGCUUGAAUCCAGGAGUUCUGGGCUGUAGUGUGCUGUGCUCAUCAGAUAUGUGCACUAAGUUCAGCAUCAACAUGGUGACCUCCCAGGAGUGGAGGUAGAGGGAGGCCACCAGGUUGCCUAAGGAGGGAGUCCAACCCAGGUUGGAAACAGAGCAGGUCAAAAGUCCCAUGCUGAUAAGUAGUGGGAUCGCACCUGUGAAUAGCCACUGCACUCCAGCCUGGGCAACAUAGUAAGAACUCCACUUCU
Molecule: non-coding RNA, 304 nt
Organism: Otolemur garnettii (small-eared galago)
Lineage: Eukaryota; Metazoa; Chordata; Mammalia; Primates; Galagidae
Source: Rfam